RNAcentral lists this ribosomal RNA (252 nucleotides) under uncultured bacterium. Its description in RNAcentral is "partial 16S ribosomal RNA". It matches the Rfam family "Bacterial small subunit ribosomal RNA", at positions 524 to 776 of the family's 1533-position model. The record is from RNAcentral.
UACGUAGGUCCCGAGCGUUGUCCGGAUUUAUUGGGCGUAAAGCGAGCGCAGGUGGUUUAUUAAGUCUGGUGUAAAAGGCAGUGGCUCAACCAUUGUAUGCAUUGGAAACUGGUAGACUUGAGUGCAGGAGAGGAGAGUGGAAUUCCAUGUGUAGCGGUGAAAUGCGUAGAUAUAUGGAGGAACACCGGUGGCGGAGGCGGCUCUCUGGCCUGUAACUGACACUGAGGCUCGAAAGCGUGGGGAGCAAACAGG